RNAcentral lists this ribosomal RNA (464 nucleotides) under uncultured bacterium. RNAcentral's name for it is "bacterial SSU rRNA". It matches the Rfam family "Bacterial small subunit ribosomal RNA", at positions 917 to 1382 of the family's 1533-position model. The record is from RNAcentral.
GGGCCCGCACAAGCAGCGGAGCAUGUCGUUUAAUUCGAUGCAACGCGAAGAACCUUACCAGGUCUUGACAUCCAACUAAACUCGUAGAGAUACGAGGUCCCUUCGGGGGAGUUGAGACAGGUGGUGCAUGGUUGUCGUCAGCUCGUGUCGUGAGAUGUUGGGUUAAGUCCCGCAACGAGCGCAACCCUUAUGAUCAGUUACUAACGGGAAAGCCGAGGACUCUGAUAAGACUGCCGGGGACAACUCGGAGGAAGGUGGGGACGACGUCAAAUCAUCAUGCCCCUUAUGACCUGGGCUACAGACGUGCUACAAUGGCGACUACAAAGAGGAGCGAGACCGUAAGGUUAAGCGGAUCUCAAAAAAGUCGUCCCAGUUCGGACUGUGGGCUGCAACCCGCCCACACGAAGUUGGAGUUGCUAGUAAUCGCGGAUCAGCAUGCCGCGGUGAAUACGUUCCCGGGCCUU